AUGAACGCUAGCGGCAGGCUUAACACAUGCAAGUCGAGGGGCAUCGGGAGUAGCAAUACUGCCGGCGACCGGCGCAAGGGUGCGUAACGCGUGAGCAACAUGCCCGUAUCAGGGGGAUAAUCCAUGGAAACGUGGUCUAAUACCUCAUAGUAAUUAUGUAAGGCAUCUUAUAUAAUUUAAAGCUUUGGUGGAUACGGAUUGGCUCGCGUGACAUUAGCUGGAUGGUAAGGUAACGGCUUACCAUGGCUACGAUGUCUAGGGGUUCUGAGAGGAAGGUCCCCCACACUGGAACUGAGACACGGUCCAGACUCCUACGGGAGGCAGCAGUGAGGAAUAUUGGACAAUGGAUGGAAAUCUGAUCCAGCCAUGCCGCGUGCAGGAAGAACCGGCCCUAUGGGUUGUAAACUGCUUUUGUAUGGGAGCAAUAAGGGCUACGUGUAGUCCGAUGAGAGUACCAUACGAAUAAGCACCGGCUAACUCCGUGCCAGCAGCAGC
This 495-nucleotide ribosomal RNA is filed under the name uncultured bacterium. RNAcentral describes it as "bacterial SSU rRNA". It matches the Rfam family "Bacterial small subunit ribosomal RNA", at positions 29 to 518 of the family's 1533-position model. The record is from RNAcentral.